Molecule: ribosomal RNA, 471 nt
Filed under: uncultured bacterium
Lineage: Bacteria
Description: bacterial SSU rRNA
Rfam family: Bacterial small subunit ribosomal RNA
Source: RNAcentral
AUUGAACGCUGGCGGCAUGCUUUACACAUGCAAGUCGAACGGUAACAGGCCUUCGGGUGCUGACGAGUGGCGAACGGGUGAGUAAUGCAUCGGAACGUGCCCAAUCGUGGGGGAUAACGCAGCGAAAGUUGCGCUAAUACCGCAUAAGCCCUGAGGGGGAAAGCGGGGGACCGAAAGGCCUCGUGCGAAUGGAGCGGCCGAUGUCAGAUUAGCUAGUUGGUGGGGUAAAGGCUCACCAAGGCGACGAUCUGUAGCGGGUCUGAGAGGAUGAUCCGCCACACUGGGACUGACACACGGCCCAGACUCCUACGGGAGGCAGCAGUGGGGAAUUUUGGACAAUGGGCGCAAGCCUGAUCCAGCCAUGCCGCGUGCGGGACGAAGGCCUCGGUUGUAACCGACGUUCUAGCGGAACGAAAUACGACUGUUUUAAUUAGUAGGCGAGUGGAGUGACGGUACCGGAACGAAGAAGAC